GAUCCUGGCUCAGAUUGAACGCUGGCGGCAGGCCUAACACAUGCAAGUCGAACGGUAACAGGAAGCAGCUUGCUGCUUCGCUGACGAGUGGCGGACGGGUGAGUAAUGUCUGGGAAACUGCCUGAUGGAGGGGGGAUAACUACUGGAAACGGUAGCUAAUACCGCAUAACGUCGCAAGACCAAAGAGGGGGGACCUUCGGGCCUCUUGCCAUCGGAUGUGCCCAGAUGGGAUUAGCUAGUAGGG
Molecule: ribosomal RNA, 244 nt
Filed under: uncultured bacterium
Lineage: Bacteria
Description: partial 16S ribosomal RNA
Rfam family: Bacterial small subunit ribosomal RNA
Source: RNAcentral